CCCGCACAAGCGGUGGAGCACGUGGUUUAAUUCGAUGCAAACCGGAGAACCUCACCUGGGUUUGACAUGUACGUGGUACGGAUCUGAAAGGUGAAGGACGGUACCUUCGGGUACCGAGCGUACACAGGUGCUGCAUGGCUGUCGUCAGCUCGUGUCGUGAGAUGUGGGUUAAGUCCCGCAACGAGCGCAACCCUACGCUGAGUUACCAGCACGUAAAGGUGGGGACUCUCAGUGGACUGCCGGCGACAAGCCGGAGGAGGGUGGGGACGACGUCAAGUCAUCAUGGCCCUCAUGUCCAGGGCGACACACGUGCUACAAUGGCCGGCACAACGGGAAGCGACGGCGCGAGUCGUAGUGGAUCCCUCAAAGCCGGUCCCAGUUCGGAUUGCAGUCUGCAACUCGACUGCAUGAAGCCGGAAUCGCUAGUAAUCGUGGAUCAGCCAAGCCGCGGUGAAUACGUUCCCGGGCCUU
This 471-nucleotide ribosomal RNA is filed under the name uncultured Thermanaerovibrio sp. RNAcentral's name for it is "bacterial SSU rRNA". It matches the Rfam family "Bacterial small subunit ribosomal RNA", at positions 920 to 1382 of the family's 1533-position model. The record is from RNAcentral. Lineage: Bacteria; Thermotogati; Synergistota; Synergistia; Synergistales; Synergistaceae.